AGCGAACGCUGGCGGCAGGCCUAACACAUGCAAGUCGAACGAACCUUUCGGGGUUAGUGGCGGACGGGUGAGUAACACGUGGGAACGUGCCUUUAGGUUCGGAAUAACUCAGGGAAACUUGUGCUUAUACCGAAUGUGCCCUUCGGGGGAAAGAUUUAUCGCCUUUAGAGCGGCCCGCGUCUGCUUAGCUAGUUGGUUGAGGUAAUGGCUCACCAAGGCGACGUUCAGUAGCUGGUCUGAGAGGAUGAUCAGCCACAUUGGGUCUGAGACACGGCCCAAACUCCUACGGGAUGCAGCAGUGGGGAAUCUUGCGCAAUGGGCGAAAGCCUGACGCAGCCAUGCCGCGUAAAUGAUGAAGGUCUUAGGAUUGUAAAAUUCUUUCACCGGGGACGAUAAUGACGGUACCCGGAGAAGAAGCCCCGGCUAACUUCGUG
Molecule: ribosomal RNA, 434 nt
Filed under: uncultured bacterium
Lineage: Bacteria
Description: partial 16S ribosomal RNA
Rfam family: Bacterial small subunit ribosomal RNA
Source: RNAcentral